UUAAGCGACUAAGCGUACACGGUGGAUGCCCUGGCAGUCAGAGGCGAUGAAGGACGUGCUAAUCUGCGAUAAGCGUCGGUAAGGUGAUAUGAACCGUUAUAACCGGCGAUUUCCGAAUGGGGAAACCCAGUGUGUUUCGACACACUAUCAUUAACUGAAUCCAUAGGUUAAUGAGGCGAACCGGGGGAACUGAAACAUCUAAGUACCCCGAGGAAAAGAAAUCAACCGAGAUUCCCCCAGUAGCGGCGAGCGAACGGGGAGGAGCCCAGAGCCUGAAUCAGUGUGUGUGUUAGUGGAAGCGUCUGGAAAGGCGCGCGAUACAGGGUGACAGCCCCGUACACAAAAAUGCACAUGCUGUGAGCUCGAUGAGUAGGGCGGGACACGUGGUAUCCUGUCUGAAUAUGGGGGGACCAUCCUCCAAGGCUAAAUACUCCUGACUGACCGAUAGUGAACCAGUACCGUGAGGGAAAGGCGAAAAGAACCCCGGCGAGGGGAGUGAAAAAGAACCUGAAACCGUGUACGUACAAGCAGUGGGAGCACGCUUAGGCGUGUGACUGCGUACCUUUUGUAUAAUGGGUCAGCGACUUAUAUUCUGUAGCAAGGUUAACCGAAUAGGGGAGCCGAAGGGAAACCGAGUCUUAACUGGGCGUUAAGUUGCAGGGUAUAGACCCGAAACCCGGUGAUCUAGCCAUGGGCAGGUUGAAGGUUGGGUAACACUAACUGGAGGACCGAACCGACUAAUGUUGAAAAAUUAGCGGAUGACUUGUGGCUGGGGGUGAAAGGCCAAUCAAACCGGGAGAUAGCUGGUUCUCCCCGAAAGCUAUUUAGGUAGCGCCUCGUGAAUUCAUCUCCGGGGGUAGAGCACUGUUUCGGCAAGGGGGUCAUCCCGACUUACCAACCCGAUGCAAACUGCGAAUACCGGAGAAUGUUAUCACGGGAGACACACGGCGGGUGCUAACGUCCGUCGUGAAGAGGGAAACAACCCAGACCGCCAGCUAAGGUCCCAAAGUCAUGGUUAAGUGGGAAACGAUGUGGGAAGGCCCAGACAGCCAGGAUGUUGGCUUAGAAGCAGCCAUCAUUUAAAGAAAGCGUAAUAGCUCACUGGUCGAGUCGGCCUGCGCGGAAGAUGUAACGGGGCUAAACCAUGCACCGAAGCUGCGGCAGCGACGCUUAUGCGUUGUUGGGUAGGGGAGCGUUCUGUAAGCCUGUGAAGGUGUGCUGUGAGGCAUGCUGGAGGUAUCAGAAGUGCGAAUGCUGACAUAAGUAACGAUAAAGCGGGUGAAAAGCCCGCUCGCCGGAAGACCAAGGGUUCCUGUCCAACGUUAAUCGGGGCAGGGUGAGUCGACCCCUAAGGCGAGGCCGAAAGGCGUAGUCGAUGGGAAACAGGUUAAUAUUCCUGUACUUGGUGUUACUGCGAAGGGGGGACGGAGAAGGCUAUGUUGGCCGGGCGACGGUUGUCCCGGUUUAAGCGUGUAGGCUGGUUUUCCAGGCAAAUCCGGAAAAUCAAGGCUGAGGCGUGAUGACGAGGCACUACGGUGCUGAAGCAACAAAUGCCCUGCUUCCAGGAAAAGCCUCUAAGCAUCAGGUAACAUCAAAUCGUACCCCAAACCGACACAGGUGGUCAGGUAGAGAAUACCAAGGCGCUUGAGAGAACUCGGGUGAAGGAACUAGGCAAAAUGGUGCCGUAACUUCGGGAGAAGGCACGCUGAUAUGUAGGUGAAGUCCCUCGCGGAUGGAGCUGAAAUCAGUCGAAGAUACCAGCUGGCUGCAACUGUUUAUUAAAAACACAGCACUGUGCAAACACGAAAGUGGACGUAUACGGUGUGACGCCUGCCCGGUGCCGGAAGGUUAAUUGAUGGGGUCAGCGCAAGCGAAGCUCUUGAUCGAAGCCCCGGUAAACGGCGGCCGUAACUAUAACGGUCCUAAGGUAGCGAAAUUCCUUGUCGGGUAAGUUCCGACCUGCACGAAUGGCGUAAUGAUGGCCAGGCUGUCUCCACCCGAGACUCAGUGAAAUUGAACUCGCUGUGAAGAUGCAGUGUACCCGCGGCAAGACGGAAAGACCCCGUGAACCUUUACUAUAGCUUGACACUGAACAUUGAGCCUUGAUGUGUAGGAUAGGUGGGAGGCUUUGAAGUGUGGACGCCAGUCUGCAUGGAGCCGACCUUGAAAUACCACCCUUUAAUGUUUGAUGUUCUAACGUUGACCCGUAAUCCGGGUUGCGGACAGUGUCUGGUGGGUAGUUUGACUGGGGCGGUCUCCUCCUAAAGAGUAACGGAGGAGCACGAAGGUUGGCUAAUCCUGGUCGGACAUCAGGAGGUUAGUGCAAUGGCAUAAGCCAGCUUGACUGCGAGCGUGACGGCGCGAGCAGGUGCGAAAGCAGGUCAUAGUGAUCCGGUGGUUCUGAAUGGAAGGGCCAUCGCUCAACGGAUAAAAGGUACUCCGGGGAUAACAGGCUGAUACCGCCCAAGAGUUCAUAUCGACGGCGGUGUUUGGCACCUCGAUGUCGGCUCAUCACAUCCUGGGGCUGAAGUAGGUCCCAAGGGUAUGGCUGUUCGCCAUUUAAAGUGGUACGCGAGCUGGGUUUAGAACGUCGUGAGACAGUUCGGUCCCUAUCUGCCGUGGGCGCUGGAGAACUGAGGGGGGCUGCUCCUAGUACGAGAGGACCGGAGUGGACGCAUCACUGGUGUUCGGGUUGUCAUGCCAAUGGCACUGCCCGGUAGCUAAAUGCGGAAGAGAUAAGUGCUGAAAGCAUCUAAGCACGAAACUUGCCCCGAGAUGAGUUCUCCCUGACUCCUUGAGAGUCCUGAAGGAACGUUGAAGACGACGACGUUGAUAGGCCGGGUGUGUAAGCGCAGCGAUGCGUUGAGCUAACCGGUACUAAUGAACCGUGAGGCUUAACCUU
Molecule: ribosomal RNA, 2902 nt
Filed under: Escherichia coli HVH 200 (4-4449924)
Lineage: Bacteria; Pseudomonadati; Pseudomonadota; Gammaproteobacteria; Enterobacterales; Enterobacteriaceae
Description: bacterial LSU rRNA
Rfam family: Bacterial large subunit ribosomal RNA
Source: RNAcentral